CAGGCCUAACACAUGCAAGUCGAACGUGAAGCACCUUCGGGUGUGGAAAGUAGCGCACGGGUGAGUAACGCGUGGGAAUGUACAUCUCGGUACGGAACAACAGUUGGAAACGACUGCUAAUACCGUAUAAUGACUCCGGUCCAAAGAUUUAUCGCCGAGGGAUCAGCCCGCGUCUGAUUAGGUAGUUGGUAGGGUAAUGGCCUACCAAGCCUACGAUCAGUAGCUGGUUUGAGAGGAUGAUCAGCCACACUGGGACUGAGACACGGCCCAGACUCCUACGGGAGGCAGCAGUGAGGAAUAUUGCACAAUGGGGGCAACCCUGAUGCAGCCAUGCCGCGUGAGUGAAGAAGGCCCUAGGGUUGUAAAGCUCUUUCAGUUGUGAAGAUAAUGACGGUAACAACAGAAGAAGCUCCGGCUAACUCCGUGCCAGCAGCCGCGGUAAUACGGGGGGAGCGAGCGUUGUUCGGAAUCACUGGGCGUAAAGCGUGCGCAGGCGGUUUGGAAAGUCAGAAGUGAAAUCCCGGGGCUCAACCCCGGAACUGCUUUUGAAACUUCCUUACUAGAGUAUGGUAGAGGUUGGGAGAAUUCCUAGUGUAGAGGUGAAAUUCGUAGAUAUUAGGAGGAAUACCAGUGGCGUAGGCGCCCAACU
RNAcentral lists this ribosomal RNA (649 nucleotides) under uncultured bacterium. RNAcentral describes it as "bacterial SSU rRNA". It matches the Rfam family "Bacterial small subunit ribosomal RNA", at positions 43 to 730 of the family's 1533-position model. The record is from RNAcentral.